Molecule: long non-coding RNA, 566 nt
Organism: Sarcophilus harrisii (Tasmanian devil)
Lineage: Eukaryota; Metazoa; Chordata; Mammalia; Dasyuromorphia; Dasyuridae
Exons: 3
Source: RefSeq, a predicted model, not a curated record
GUAAAACAUUAGGGUUGAAGCAGGUAGUGCGAGACCUACAGUGAAGCCUGGAACUCUAAUUAUCCUCUUUAUUAUUUUCUUCAAACCUAAGCAUAGAAGGUCUUUAAAAUCUAGACUUAGAAUAUGCCCUUAAUAUUCAAAAAGGGCAAUUAGUGGUUGGGAAUGGAGGAAGGGGUAGAGGAAGAGAGGAUCUUUCCCAUUAUGAUCAAUGAGAUUCAAGAAUAUUAAUUCCACAUUGGCCUUCAGAAAUACAAUAUGAAUCAAAACAUUGUCCUUUAUUCACACUAAAGAUACCUUUCAACAUGUGAGCUAGGCUAGUACCUUAAGCUCUACUUGAAUCUCAAUGAAAGUGGAAUGAGACAUUCUAUGGGAGCACUUUGUCUCAUCACAGAUUCAGAAAAUCUGAGAUGGAGGGGACCUUCAAAUUCAGUCCCUCAAAUUUGUACCUUGAACACAAAGAUUUUGGAAGACCUUCGCUGCAGGGAAAUUUUCUUCCAUUUGGUGAGAAAACUGAAACUGGGAGAAGUGGUGUAAUUUGCUCAAAUUGACCCAAAUAAAAUGAUUUA